Long non-coding RNA from Hyla sarda, 2265 nucleotides. RefSeq lists it as uncharacterized. The record is from RefSeq and is a predicted model, not a curated record. The transcript has 4 exons. Lineage: Eukaryota; Metazoa; Chordata; Amphibia; Anura; Hylidae.
GACCGCUGAACACCCCUCCCCCCCCUCCUGUGACAGGCACCGCGGUGGCCGGCGGCUUCAGGACUGUGCGCAUCAUUAUGAGUCCCCACAGUCACAGAUGACUCAUACAGCCGGGCCCCCAACUGUGAGCCGCUCCUGCCAUCAGUGGAGAUCCAGGGGAGGGGAAAUAUACCUGCUCUGUUGUGUCCUAUGUGUACACAUAUGGACCCCUUCACUGCCUUCCUAUAGCAGUGUUUCCCAAGCAGUGUGCAUCCAGCUGUUGAAAACCACAGCUCCCAGCAUGCCCAGAUAGCCAAAAGCUGUCUGGAUAUGCUGGGAGUUGUAGUUUUGCUAUAUCUGUAUGCACCUGCUUGGGAAACACUGCCAUACACACAGCGAUCUCAACCUCCAGCUCAGCUCCUCCCCUGCUGGUCAUGUGAUCAUAGACUCAUACGGAGGCCUGCUGGGGUCAGAGGAAGGACCAGAGUGCAGGUGAACAGUGGAUGAUGGCAUGACAGGCAGGUUACAUAGGUAACACUAUAAAUACUGUGCCCUGACCCCUGCCAAUCCUCACCCCAUUAGGAUCAGACUCCGCUGACAAAGUAAUGAACCAAUGCCAUCUGGGCGUCAAGUUCUGCAAAGAGAAGAUUUAGCUGGACCCACUGGCAACAAAGAAGACAAGACAUUUCAAGGAUCAGAGGGAGGAUGGCCAGGAGCAGCCGAAUACAACCAACAAACCAAGAAGAUUGGUUCCUAGCAUGCCUUCAAAAUGCCUAGGACAGGAUAAAGAAAACAUUCAGCAAAGAGAAGUUGAAAGGGGUAAUCCAGGAUGAGAAAAUCCGAGCUGAUUUCUUCUGAAAACUGCACCACCUCUGUCCUAAUGUUGUGUGUGAUAUCGCUGCUCAAUUCUUCAAAAGGGAAUGGAGAAAACUUGUAAUAUUACAUACAACAUGAGGACAGGUAUGGUGCUGUUUUUGGAAACAAAUAGCUCUGUUUUCUAUUCCCUUUUAACAAACUCCUAGGAUGCAGCAACAUUCAUCUGAUGGACGGCACAGGCAACAAAGAAGACAAGACAUUUCAAGGAUCAGAGGGAGGAUGGCCAGGAGCAGCCGAAUACAACCAACAAACCAAGAAGAUUGGUUCCUAGCAUGCCUUCAAAAUGCCUAGGACAGGAUAAAGAAAACAUUCAGCAAAGAGAAGUUGAAAGGGGUAAUCCAGGAUGAGAAAAUCAGAGCUGAUUUCUUCUGAAAACUGCACCACCUCUGUCCUAAUGUUGUGUGUGAUAUCGCUGCUCAAUUCUUCAAAAGGGAAUGGAGAAAACUUGUAAUAUUACAUACAACAUGAGGACAGGUAUGGUGCUGUUUUUGGAAACAAAUAGCUCUGUUUUCUAUUCCCUUUUAACAAACUCCUAGGAUGCAGCAACAUUCAUCUGAUGGACGGCACAGGUAGGACACUACAUGUUUUUCUAUACAUUUCUCACUAUUAACACCAGAUUCAUGUAACUAACACAAUCAUUUCAAUGGCCUCAGUGCUGAACUUCUAGACACAUGGGAUAUUUAUCAAAACCUAUGUACAGGAAGAGUAUCAUCUUUCAUCCUUUAGAGAUUUUUGGUGAGAUUUAUCAAAAUCUGUGCAAAGGAAAAGUUGACCAGUUGCCAAUAGCAACCAAUCAGAUUAAUUUUCAUUGUCAGAUUAAAAUUAAUUUUGCAGAGGCCUUGUUAAAAAUAAAAUAAGCAAGCUGAUUGGUUGCUAUGGGCAACUGGGCAACAUUUCCUCUGCACAGGUUUUGAUAAAUUGUGAGCUCCUGGAGGGGACUUUUUUUGUGCGAACUUGGCGAGUAGUACUGGUUGCCUAGUUUUGGUCACCCCAAUGUGAAAUCAGUCAAAUGCAUUCUACACCUCCCCCUUUUUUCUUUAUACACUUUCCCUACAAUAUCUUUCACCCCCCUGCUAUUUGGGGAAAUUGGAGAAGGGAGUUCUUACACACAUUGUGUUUAAUUUUUUGCGCAAAGUUUUGCGCAAGCUGUUUUUUUUUGCGUCUUUUUUUGCGCACAUUUCCUCCAGAUGUGUAAGUUUUGGUGUACCUUGGAGUGACAUAUUUAGUACACACAAAUUUAUUAACUGCGUACAUUUCAUUUACCGACAGAAAUCUUGCGGGAUGACCAUAUUUUUAAAGCCAUCUUGGACUGCACUUAGCAAGAUGCUCUAAAUCAUGCAUUUAAUUUUCCAUUUGGAUUGCGGAGAUUACUAUGCUUUUGUCGCCAGUCAGAUUAUCUCUGUGAUACUU